This 72-nucleotide transfer RNA is filed under the name Candidatus Aenigmatarchaeota archaeon. RNAcentral's name for it is "tRNA-Ile". It matches the Rfam family "tRNA". Rfam says of the family: Transfer RNA (tRNA) molecules are approximately 80 nucleotides in length. The record is from RNAcentral. Lineage: Archaea; Nanobdellati; Candidatus Aenigmatarchaeota.
GGGCCCGUGGCUCAUUGGUAGAGCACUCGACUGAUAAUCGAGGGGCAGUGAGUUCGAUUCUCACCGGGCCCA